CCUACGGGAGGCAGCAGUGGGGAAUAUUGGGCAAUGGGCGAAAGCCUGACCCAGCAACGCAGCGUGAAGGAAGAAGGCUUUAGGGGUGUAAAAUUCUUUUAAGAGGGAAGAGCAGAAGACGGUACCUCUUGAAUAAGCCACGGCUAACUACGUGCCAGCAGCCGCGGUAAUACGUAGGUGGCAAGCGUUGUCCGGAUUUAGUGGGUGUAAAGGGCGUGCAGCCGGGAAUACAAGUCAGAUGUGAAAUCCCGCGGCUCAACCGUGGAACUGCAUUUGAAACUGUUUUUCUUGAGUACAGGAGAGGUCAUCGGAAUUCCUUGUGUAGCGGUGAAAUGCUUAGAUAUAAGGAAGAACACCAGUGGCGAAGGCGGAUGACUGGACUGCAACUGACGGUGAGGCGCGAAAGCGUGGGGAGCAAACAGGAUUAGAUACCCGUGUAGUC
This 442-nucleotide ribosomal RNA is filed under the name uncultured bacterium. RNAcentral describes it as "partial 16S ribosomal RNA". It matches the Rfam family "Bacterial small subunit ribosomal RNA", at positions 338 to 795 of the family's 1533-position model. The record is from RNAcentral.